UACGUAGGGUGCGAGCGUUAAUCGGAAUUACUGGGCGUAAAGCGUGCGCAGGCGGCUUUGCAAGACAGAUGUGAAAUCCCCGGGCUCAACCUGGGAACUGCAUUUGUGACUGCAAGGCUAGAGUACGGCAGAGGGGGAUGGAAUUCCGCGUGUAGCAGUGAAAUGCGUAGAUAUGCGGAGGAACACCAAUGGCGAAGGCAAUCCCCUGGGCCUGUACUGACGCUCAUGCCCGAAAGCGUGGGGAGCAAACAGG
Molecule: ribosomal RNA, 253 nt
Filed under: uncultured bacterium
Lineage: Bacteria
Description: partial 16S ribosomal RNA
Rfam family: Bacterial small subunit ribosomal RNA
Source: RNAcentral